Molecule: ribosomal RNA, 838 nt
Filed under: Tsukamurella sp. IM-6287
Lineage: Bacteria; Bacillati; Actinomycetota; Actinomycetes; Mycobacteriales; Tsukamurellaceae
Description: bacterial SSU rRNA
Rfam family: Bacterial small subunit ribosomal RNA
Source: RNAcentral
GGCGGCGUGCUUAACACAUGCAAGUCGAACGGUAAGGCCCUUUCGGGGGUACACGAGUGGCGAACGGGUGAGUAACACGUGGGUGACCUGCCCUGUACUUUGGGAUAAGCCUGGGAAACUGGGUCUAAUACCGGAUAUGACCUUCUCCUGCAUGGGGGUUGGUGGAAACCUUUUGCGGUACAGGAUGGGCCCGCGGCCUAUCAGCUUGUUGGUGGGGUAAUGGCCUACCAAGGCGACGACGGGUAGCCGGCCUGAGAGGGCGACCGGCCACACUGGGACUGAGACACGGCCCAGACUCCUACGGGAGGCAGCAGUGGGGAAUAUUGCACAAUGGGCGCAAGCCUGAUGCAGCGACGCCGCGUGAGGGAUGACGGCCUUCGGGUUGUAAACCUCUUUCAGUAGGGACGAAGCGCAAGUGACGGUACCUACAGAAGAAGCACCGGCCAACUACGUGCCAGCAGCCGCGGUAAUACGUAGGGUGCAAGCGUUGUCCGGAAUUACUGGGCGUAAAGAGCUCGUAGGCGGUUUGUCACGUCGUCUGUGAAAACCCGAGGCUUAACCUCGGGCCUGCAGGCGAUACGGGCAGACUUGAGUACUGUAGGGGAGACUGGAAUUCCUGGUGUAGCGGUGGAAUGCGCAGAUAUCAGGAGGAACACCGGUGGCGAAGGCGGGUCUCUGGGCAGUAACUGACGCUGAGGAGCGAAAGCGUGGGUAGCGAACAGGAUUAGAUACCCUGGUAGUCCACGCCGUAAACGGUGGGUACUAGGUGUGGGUUUCCUUCCACGGGAUCCGUGCCGUAGCUAACGCAUUAAGUACCCCGCCUGGGGAGUACGGCCGC